GUCAGAUCCCCUGUGUUUCCCGGGUCAGUUAUCACGCAGGCCUCCAAAGGCUACGGACCCCCCAGGCCGUUCCGCUGGCAGGCCGUAAGGAUUCUUCCAGAGUUGUCCGUAGCUCCAUUCAUCUUCCCAACUCCACUGACCAGCCUCCAUGUCUCCUGAAGACCAGCAUUCACACAUCAUUAUGCUGCCGCCGUCAUGUGUCACUGUGGGGCUGGUCUGUUAAAAUUUCAUUUUGUUCUUAUCUAACAGAACCUCCUCACAUUCCUGCUAUUUCUUGUGCUUAAGCUGCAAAAAGGGCUUCUGAUGGUUGUUCAUGGACAUUUUCUACUUUUCUUACCACUCCUACAUAAAUGCCAAAUAUGAAGACAACUAAUAGUAAGAAUAUAAAAAAGCAUUAUAUUAUGUGGUUAUGAUGUUUCAAAGUGUGAGAAAAGUCCUCUUACUGAACAGCGUAGGGCAACUACAACAAAGACAAAUGUAAGAGGAACUAGUAAAUGAUAAAGUUAAUUCGUCAGUCAGUCUGUUGCUUUUUUUCUGAAUGCACACAUGCUAAAGACUAAUUAUCAGUUGUAAAACCCCCUAAGAUUAUUCUCUCGCCUUAAUUUAUCAACUGCAUAUUCUACAGUUUGCACAGAGUAAAAGUAAAGCAUUCUGUUUUUUUUGUUUUUUUUUUAAAGAAGCAAUAUGGCCUCUUCCCAGAUUCAAUAUGAACUCAAGUGUCAAGUGAGCAUAUGUAUAAAAGCUUUGGCGGUCUGAAUAAUUCACAGAGUUUUUUUUUUUUCCAAGUUACUUCUUUGCUUGCACAUACAUACACAAUAAAAUACCCAUGUGUCAUAGCUGGAACAGACUGCAUACAUAUUAAACCAAAGCAUGUGCAGCGUCUGCAGAGACCAAAAGGCUCACAAAAGCUCAAGACGGGAAGAAAAAAAAAAAA
Molecule: non-coding RNA, 934 nt
Organism: Poecilia reticulata (guppy)
Lineage: Eukaryota; Metazoa; Chordata; Actinopteri; Cyprinodontiformes; Poeciliidae
Source: RefSeq, a predicted model, not a curated record